AUUGGAAACGAUGGCUAAUACCGCAUAAUGCCUACGGGCCAAAGAGGGGGACCUUCGGGCCUCUCGCGUCAGGAUAUGCCUAGGUGGGAUUAGCUAGUUGGUGAGGUAAUGGCUCACCAAGGCGACGAUCCCUAGCUGGUCUGAGAGGAUGAUCAGCCACACUGGAACUGAGACACGGUCCAGACUCCUACGGGAGGCAGCAGUGGGGAAUAUUGCACAAUGGGCGCAAGCCUGAUGCAGCCAUGCCGCGUGUGUGAAGAAGGCCUUCGGGUUGUAAAGCACUUUCAGUCGUGAGGAAGGUGGUGUAGUUAAUAGCUGCAUUAUUUGACGUUAGCGACAGAAGAAGCACCGGCUAACUCCGUGCCAGCAGCCGCGGUAAUACGGAGGGUGCGAGCGUUAAUCGGAAUUACUGGGCGUAAAGCGCAUGCAGGUGGUUUGUUAAGUCAGAUGUGAAAGCCCGGGGCUCAACCUCGGAAUAGCAUUUGAAACUGGCAGACUAGAGUACUGUAGAGGGGGGUAGAAUUUCAGGUGUAGCGGUGAAAUGCGUAGAGAUCUGAAGGAAUACCGGUGGCGAAGGCGGCCCCCUGGACAGAUACUGACACUCAGAUGCGAAAGCGUGGGGAGCAAACAGGAUUAGAUACCCUGGUAGUCCACGCCGUAAACGAUGUCUACUUGGAGGUUGUGGCCUUGAGCCGUGGCUUUCGGAGCUAACGCGUUAAGUAGACCGCCUGGGGAGUACGGUCGCAAGAUUAAAACUCAAAUGAAUUGACGGGGGCCCGCACAAGCGGUGGAGCAUGUGGUUUAAUUCGAUGCAACGCGAAGAACCUUACCUACUCUUGACAUCCAGAGAACUUUCCAGAGAUGGAUUGGUGCCUUCGGGAACUCUGAGACAGGUGCUGCAUGGCUGUCGUCAGCUCGUGUUGUGAAAUGUUGGGUUAAGUCCCGCAACGAGCGCAACCCUUAUCCUUGUUUGCCAGCGAGUAAUGUCGGGAACUCCAGGGAGACUGCCGGUGAUAAACCGGAGGAAGGUGGGGACGACGUCAAGUCAUCAUGGCCCUUACGAGUAGGGCUACACACGUGCUACAAUGGCGCAUACAGAGGGCAGCAAGCUAGCGAUAGUGAGCGAAUCCCAAAAAGUGCGUCGUAGUCCGGAUUGGAGUCUGCAACUCGACUCCAUGAAGUCGGAAUCGCUAGUAAUCGUGGAUCAGAAUGCCACGGUGAAUACGUUCCCGGGCCUUGUACACACCGCCCGU
This 1253-nucleotide ribosomal RNA is filed under the name Vibrio sp. RNAcentral's name for it is "bacterial SSU rRNA". It matches the Rfam family "Bacterial small subunit ribosomal RNA", at positions 149 to 1397 of the family's 1533-position model. Lineage: Bacteria; Pseudomonadati; Pseudomonadota; Gammaproteobacteria; Vibrionales; Vibrionaceae. The record is from RNAcentral.